UACAUACUGCAACGGCGUGUGUCCACACUUUACACUUUUGUUAUUUCUUUUCUUGACCGUACACUCGGAUUCGUCUUACGUCCUCGUCUAGACGAGAUAAUAAGACCAGCUAUGGUAAUGGGAUUCCGUUUGUGAGAUCCGUCAGCAAAAACCGUUUGACCAACAUCAUAGGAACAAUGUGCGGCUCGCAUUCUUGUUAAAAAAAAAGGAUGACAAAUGAAGCACGAAAAAUAAACGUCCACGAGUGACCGUUCACUCUGCUUUGUUCAAGAAAAAAAAAGAACGAAAAUGGAUCGACUCAACUUGUGUACGUCAACAUACGAACUCAUUUGCACACUUUUUUACUAACCGAUUUUUUGUCGUCAACAGAACUAGAGUUAUAAAAAAAAACAACGGCGGAAACGUUUGAUGAUAAUGCUUUCCAGAUUAUCCUGGCUCGACAAAGUCGCAGCCUUCGAACAUUCGUUCGAUUGUUUCGUCGCGUGCAACGCUCGUACGGGAACGAUGCAAAUGAUCGGUGCGGCCAUCUAGCGUAACGACUCCGCACCAAUAACGCUCAACGCCUUUUUUCCUCUACUACGCUACUCAACCGAGUUCGCAGAUUAAUUCCAUCGGUUAAUUUAUGCAGUGUUCAACGCUCGCGCAGCUUUCCAUCCAAAUUUCAUGCACGAAACGGAUGAAUACAUUUCUAUGUUGGGAUUGGCUUUCAAAAAUAUGUAAAAAAUUUCUAUUCCCAGGUUGACGAAAAGAAUUUCGUGACGGGGAAAAUCGACUACAGUUGUAUCGAUGAAACGGAAUCGUUGGAGGAAAGAAUCCACUCAUAUUUUAUUGCCAAUUCAAAGUUCAUGGAAAUAUUUUUUUUAAAACAGCACUGUUGGCAAAGAUCGAUCGACAGUCAUUCGAAAAACAGUCCGAGCAAUAGCCACAUACUCGCAACUGCGAUGAAUCGACGCGAUCAAUAUUUCCAUGUUUGAAAAAUGAAAAAGAACAACAAAACUGUCACAUCUUUCGCUGAGACUGCGUUUAUUAGAGGAUGGUGAAAAAAAAAGAAUAUUCAUUUUUCUCCACGUGUUCCUACGUAAUCGCGACGUUGAUGGCGCCAAGCUGGCGAAAAAUAAAUUUGACACGUAACGUGAGACGAUAACGCUGAAGUCGUCCGGUGUUGGUUCACGUUCGAAUGUCAAUUUUGCAGAAGAUUAACGAUCAGGAGGAAAAGUUGGUUUAAAAAUAAAUCACUCACCUCUGCCGCUAAUACUGUGAGCUCGGUAGCGAGAAUUAUCCUUGAUGGAGGAGUUCAGUGAACAUUGCGGCGCAAAGUCCGGGUCGUCAAGGUCAAAGGAGACACUCUCUUCGAACUCGGUAAGAGCAUUUUCGUACAUGAUUCUGUUUGUUCGAGAUCGUUUGUAAUUUUUAAAAUUUUAUCACUUCUUUACGGUCUCUGAAACAUUAGAGGAUAAAAAAAUGGAAUGCUAAUGAUUUAUCACAAAAUUGAAUAAUCUCGAUGGGAAAUAUCGAUUAAUUAAAUUUAUUCCGAGCCUCUCCAUUAAACUCUUUGUAGAAUGGAUCAAACGGAAAGAAUAGCAACGGAAGAAAACUGUACGAGCAUGCGUGUUUAAUUAAUGGACAUUUCUAAACUUGUAAAUCGACUGCUAUCGUAUAACUAAGGUCGACAUCGAAUGUCAAGGUCGUGGAAAGCGUUCCGAGACCGGGCUCGGAACGUCGGUGCGUUGCGAAUUCAAUAGAAUCGUGAAAAACCGUUAUUAAAUGAGAAAUUGAAAAAAAGACUUACCAGGAGGUUGAAAAAAAUCUUGCCAACGGAACGGUCGAUCUCGAGUGCCAUAAACACGCAGUUUUUAUUUAGCUUUGCAAAAACGUAUACUUUCUUAUCGCACUUUGUGCAAAGAGACACUUUAAUCGAACGAGGUUAUUUUAGAUAUUUUUAUAAUUAUUCCUCAUUUCCUCGACGUUUUUUUUCACUCUAGAGAUCAGAUAAGAAAAAAAAGAUAAGAUUGUUACACCAACUGAAGAACGCGAUACCGAACAUUUCGUGUUUUUUCUACCGUUUUCGAAUAAAUUGUUUUACGGAAUUUUUGCUCGUAUUUAUAUUUGUUUUUUUUUUUUUACACAAAAGAGAACUUAAAAUUGCAUUCGCUUAUAGUACACUAAGAAUAAUAUUUAUCGUGUCAACGAGAAAUAAAAGUGAAAAAAUUGAAGGUUAGCUAAAAAAAAAUAAUUUUCGUGAUUAUCUUCACUUCUUCCACUAUCGUCCAAUGUGCUUCUCUCUAGAGCUACGCGCACGAAGCUCUCGCGAGUCAAUGUAUGUGUUACCGGUACGAGGACGCAGCGUGAAAUGUUCGACGAGAAAAUUGCUACUAUAUGGCGCCCCGGUAACAAAUGCACCGUGGCCCGAAGCUCGAACGAUUACGGGAAACGAACUGAUAACAUCAGUCGUCCACAGUCAAAACAUUCUUUGGUUUCGAAGAGAACUGUAUUUCCAGUGCGGAUACUGCGGGUCACAUUUCUAAAACUCCCCACUCUCCCGGUAUACAUAAGUGAUCGCUCGCAAAACAGAAGAAUGACACUCUUUGUUCUGCAGCCCCAGCAACUACAUAACUACAAUAUUAAGAAGAAAGUGAAGAUCACCGUGCGUUUUGCAUUCGAUAGAUUUCUUCCAAUUUCGAUGAUAUAAUUCGUGAGAUCUUAGCAACGCUUUUAUCGCUUUGUAUCAAAUAGUGUUCAAAGAACGAACAAGAAUCAUAUUAUCCAAACUCAUUCGUCGAUACUUCAAUUUUCAACUGCCAAGACAUCGGAAUACAUCAGUUGUGAGGAUUCGAGAAGUGAAGAUUGUCGGAAAAGUUGCGAGCAGUUUACACCAUUGACGAUGGAACACAAUAAGAAUGGUCGUUCACACAAAGGAUUUCAAAAUGUCACGGAAUAUCAUAUCACUGGAAUUACAGUUGAAGAAUUCUUGAGCCGCUAUCAUCGUUCCCCCACUAGAUCUUCACCAAAGAAAGUGCAGUGUGAAUCCAAGAAGACAAUGGAAGAAACAAUGCCUAAGUCUAAGACAGUUGAUCCCAAUGACAGCACGUCGAGCAACCCACCGCUAUCGAAGGAUUCGGCAAGGGCUGAAGAUUCUUUGUAACUGAAAGUACAGAGCUGAUUCUAUCUAUGUCCGGAAAGGAUCCUAAAUUUUAACGCCACCAUGAAACUUUGUUGUCUCAGCCAAAAUGACAUUAUUUUCUUUUAUAUUCAAAAAAUGUAUCCAACGAAAACAAUUAAUGGUUGAAUAAAGUAAAAUCAAAAGUA
Long non-coding RNA from Venturia canescens, 3306 nucleotides. RefSeq lists it as uncharacterized. The record is from RefSeq and is a predicted model, not a curated record. NCBI's taxonomy places the organism in Eukaryota, Metazoa, Arthropoda, Insecta, Hymenoptera, Ichneumonidae. The transcript is spliced from 5 exons.